CCUACGGGAGGCAGCAGUGGGGAAUUUUGGACAAUGGGCGAAAGCCUGAUCCAGCAAUGCCGCGUGAGUGAAGAAGGCCUUCGGGUUGUAAAGCUCUUUUGUCAGGGAAGAAACGGUGAGAGCUAAUAUCUCUUACUAAUGACGGUACCUGAAGAAUAAGCACCGGCUAACUACGUGCCAGCAGCCGCGGUAAUACGUAGGGUGCAAGCGUUAAUCGGAAUUACUGGGCGUAAAGCGUGCGCAGGCGGUUUUGUAAGUCUGUCGUGAAAUCCCCGGGCUCAACCUGGGAAUUGCGAUGGAGACUGCAAGGCUAGAAUCUGGCAGAGGGGGGUAGAAUUCCACGUGUAGCAGUGAAAUGCGUAGAGAUGUGGAGGAACACCGAUGGCGAAGGCAGCCCCCUGGGUCAAGAUUGACGCUCAUGCACGAAAGCGUGGGGAGCAAACAGGAUUAGAUACCCUGGUAGUCCACGCCCUAAACGAUGUCUACUAGUUGUCGGGUUUUAAUUAACUUGGUAACGCAGCUAACGCGUGAAGUAGACCGCCUGGGGAGUACGGUCGCAAGAUUAAAACUCA
RNAcentral lists this ribosomal RNA (572 nucleotides) under uncultured bacterium. Its description in RNAcentral is "bacterial SSU rRNA". It matches the Rfam family "Bacterial small subunit ribosomal RNA", at positions 338 to 903 of the family's 1533-position model. The record is from RNAcentral.